RNAcentral lists this ribosomal RNA (253 nucleotides) under uncultured bacterium. RNAcentral describes it as "partial 16S ribosomal RNA". It matches the Rfam family "Bacterial small subunit ribosomal RNA", at positions 524 to 776 of the family's 1533-position model. The record is from RNAcentral.
UACAGAGGUCCCGAGCGUUGUUCGGAUUCACUGGGCGUAAAGGGUGCGUAGGUGGUUAGGUAAGUCCGAUGUGAAAUCUCCAGGCUCAACCUGGAAAUGGCAUUGGAUACUAUUUAGCUUGAGGAGUGGAGGGGGGACUGGAAUUCUCGGUGUAGCAGUGAAAUGCGUAGAUAUCGAGAGGAACACCAGUGGCGAAGGCGGCUCACUGGCCCGGUACUGACGCUGAGGUGCGAAAGCGUGGGGAGCAAACAGG